ACCGAAGCCUGUAACCGCCUCCGGGCGUGACGGGUGGCUGGUAUCCUCCUUCUGAGGGGUGUAUGGCGCAGCGUGGGCCGGCCUUUCGGGUCGCGAAUCCCCAGUGCUGCGGCGGACCACCCCUUGGGCAACUCAGUGGGGGCAAUUGGAUGGCCCGUAGGGACCUCUGGCGGCUUCGGCCCCGGGGGUGUCUUGGGCCGGGCGCUGGGCUUCGGUCCACGCCCCGACCUGUUAACUAACCCUGACCACCUCUUCAUUGAGGGUUUCCGGUGGCCCUCCGUCCUUCGGGGCGGGGAGCCUCCCGGUAAAGAUAGUUACCUGGUUGAUUCUGCCAGUAGUCAUAUGCUUGUCUCAA
This 355-nucleotide unclassified non-coding RNA is filed under the name Cladonia stellaris. RNAcentral describes it as "partial 28S-18S ribosomal RNA intergenic spacer". The record is from RNAcentral. Lineage: Eukaryota; Fungi; Ascomycota; Lecanoromycetes; Lecanorales; Cladoniaceae.